This is a long non-coding RNA of Oncorhynchus tshawytscha (Chinook salmon), 1043 nucleotides long. Lineage: Eukaryota; Metazoa; Chordata; Actinopteri; Salmoniformes; Salmonidae. The record is from Ensembl.
CUACCGGACAAGUUCACCUUAGGACCUAUGCUACCGGUCAAAGAUUUUAGAACACCUGCUCAUUCAAGGGUUUUUCUUUAUGUUUAUUUCCUACGUUGUAGAACAAUAGUGAAGACAUCAAACCUUUUUUUUUUCAAAGCUGUCAUCAAGGCAAAAGGUGGCUAUUUGAAGAAGCUCAAAUCUCAAAUAUAUUUAGAUUUAUUUAACACUUUUUUGGUUACUACAUGAUUCCAAAUGUGUUAUUUCAUAGUUUUGAUGUCUUCAUUAUUAUUCUACAAUGUAGAAAAUAGUUUUUUUUUUUUUUUUAAAUGAGUAGGUGUUUGAAAACCUUUGACCGGUAGUGUACACUAUAAUUAUGAAACAAAUAGUAUAAUAAAAUGUAUGCUCAUUAUUAUGUGAAGCUGUGGUUGAACGUACAGUAUCUAUACUAAAGAGGUUUCAAUAAGUCAAGACCAUAACGGAAGGAGCUGAACCACAUUCACAUCUCAUGACAUCAUAUUAUAAUGAGGCUCAACAUGAACACAAAAACAGAAGUACCAUUCAGAGGGGGUUCAGGUAUGGAUACACAUUGUGUCCUGUGUGUGUCACACACACACAUCUAACUCUGAGCUUCAGUCCACACACACUCAGGUGGGUGUUUAAUAACAGUAUAACCCAGGUGUGUUUACUAACAGUAUAACUCAGGUGUGUUUACUAACAGUAUAACCCAGGUGUGUUUACUAACAAUAUAACCCAGGUGUGUUUACUAACAAUAUAACCCAGGUGUGUGUACUAACAGUAUAACUCAGGUGUGUUUACUAACAGUAUAACCCAGGUGUGUUUACUAACAGUAUAACCCAGGUGUGUUUACUAACAGUAUAACCCAGGUGUGUUUACUAACCGUAUAACCCAGGUGUAUGCGUCUGAUGACACUAGUACUUUUUUCAGGAACCUCCAUGGACAGCAGGGCCUCUGGGUCUCUCCUGGGCCCGUCGCCCCCGACGCCCAACACAACCACCUGUACCACCGCCGUCGUCAUGGAGAAGCCGUCAGUAACGGUAAAG